CACGUAGGCACCAAGCGUUGUCCGGAUUUAUUGGGCGUAAAGAGCUCGUAGGUGGUUUGUCGCGUUGUUCGUGAAAACCUGAGGCUUAACCUUGGGCGUGCGGGCGAUACGGGCAGACUGGAGUACUGCAGGGGAGACUGGAAUUCCUGGUGUAGCGGUGGAAUGCGCAGAUAUCAGGAGGAACACCGGUGGCGAAGGCGGGUCUCUGGGCAGUAACUGACGCUGAGGAGCGAAAGCGUGGGGAGCGAACAGG
This 253-nucleotide ribosomal RNA is filed under the name uncultured bacterium. RNAcentral's name for it is "partial 16S ribosomal RNA". It matches the Rfam family "Bacterial small subunit ribosomal RNA", at positions 524 to 776 of the family's 1533-position model. The record is from RNAcentral.